CGGUAACAGGUCUUCGGAUGCUGACGAGUGGCGAACGGGUGAGUAAUACAUCGGAACGUGCCCGAUCGUGGGGGAUAACUACUCGAAAGAGUGGCUAAUACCGCAUACGAUCUACGGAUGAAAGCAGGGGGACCGCAAGGCCUUGCGCGGACGGAGCGGCCGAUGGCAGAUUAGGUAGUUGGUGGGAUAAAAGCUUACCAAGCCGACGAUCUGUAGCUGGUCUGAGAGGACGACCAGCCACACUGGGACUGAGACACGGCCCAGACUCCUACGGGAGGCAGCAGUGGGGAAUUUUGGACAAUGGGCGAAAGCCUGAUCCAGCAAUGCCGCGUGCAGGAUGAAGGCCUUCGGGUUGUAAACUGCUUUUGUACGGAACGAAAAGGUUCUUUCUAAUAAAGAGAGCCCAUGACGGUACCGUAAGAAUAAGCACCGGCUAACUACGUGCCAGCAGCCGCGGUAAUACGUAGGGUGCAAGCGUUAAUCGGAAUUACUGGGCGUAAAGCGUGCGCAGGCGGUUAUGUAAGACAGAUGUGAAAUCCCCGGGCUUAACCUGGGAAUUGCAUUAGUGACUGCAUAGCUAGAGUGCGGCAGAGGGGGAUGGAAUUCCGCGUGUAGCAGUGAAAUGCGUAGAUAUGCGGAGGAACACCGAUGGCGAAGGCAAUCCCCUGGGCCUGCACUGACGCUCAUGCACGAAAGCGUGGGGAGCAAACAGGAUUAGAUACCCUGGUAGUCCACGCCCUAAACGAUGUCAACUGGUUGUUGGGAAUUCACUUUCUCAGUAACGAAGCUAACGCGUGAAGUUGACCGCCUGGGGAGUACGGCCGCAAGGUUAAAACUCAAAGGAAUUGACGGGGACCCGCACAAGCGGUGGAUGAUGUGGUUUAAUUCGAUGCAACGCGA
RNAcentral lists this ribosomal RNA (900 nucleotides) under uncultured bacterium. RNAcentral describes it as "bacterial SSU rRNA". It matches the Rfam family "Bacterial small subunit ribosomal RNA", at positions 67 to 964 of the family's 1533-position model. The record is from RNAcentral.